Long non-coding RNA from Mytilus californianus (California mussel), 434 nucleotides. RefSeq lists it as uncharacterized. The record is from RefSeq and is a predicted model, not a curated record. The transcript is spliced from 3 exons. NCBI's taxonomy places the organism in Eukaryota, Metazoa, Mollusca, Bivalvia, Mytilida, Mytilidae.
CUCACCUGGAAACAAAGUCACAUGACUUUGGUAUGUUUUGUCGCUUUUGUAGUCACUUGCAAAGUAACCUUCAAUUAAUAAACUUCAUUUUUGUUAUUGCCUGUCUAUUUCUUGGACGUAUGUUUAAAAUGAAACACUUAUCAAUUGUUGGAGCAUCUUUUGUGUUACUUCUUAUCUUUUCAUGUGUUCUGGAAGAACAUGGAGUGGAAGCACAACCCCGGCACAGUGUAAAGGUACGCGAAUGUCAACGAUACUGUCGACCACCAUCGUCAACUUCUUUGUGCAACUAUUGUUGUAGAAAUACAUUUCCAAGGGACGACAUUGGAGAGUGCCAUUUUAACGCUUGUCAUUGUUGGGUUUGGUUAAUCUAGAUAUCAGCAUAUAUAAUAACCAAGACGUGACAUCAAUAAAACAAAAUUGUUUUUCAUUUAGAA